UACGAAGGGGGCUAGCGUUGCUCGGAAUCACUGGGCGUAAAGGGCGCGUAGGCGGAUCUUUAAGUCGGGGGUGAAAGCCCAGGGCUCAACCCUGGAAUUGCCUUCGAUACUGAAGAUCUCGAGACCGGAAGAGGUAAGUGGAACUGCGAGUGUAGAGGUGAAAUUCGUAGAUAUUCGCAAGAACACCAGUGGCGAAGGCGGCUUACUGGUCCGGUUCUGACGCUGAGGCGCGAAAGCCAGGGGAGCAAACGGG
This 253-nucleotide ribosomal RNA is filed under the name uncultured bacterium. Its description in RNAcentral is "partial 16S ribosomal RNA". It matches the Rfam family "Bacterial small subunit ribosomal RNA", at positions 524 to 776 of the family's 1533-position model. The record is from RNAcentral.